GUAGGUGGCAAGCGUUGUCCGGAAUUAUUGGGCGUAAAGCGCGCGCAGGCGGUUCUUUAAGUCUGAUGUGAAAGCCCACGGCUCAACCGUGGAGGGUCAUUGGAAACUGGAGAACUUGAGUACAGAAGAGGAAAGCGGAAUUCCACGUGUAGCGGUGAAAUGCGUAGAGACGUGGAGGAACACCAGUGGCGAAGGCGGCUUUCUGGUCUGUAACUGACGCUGAGGCGCGAAAGCGUGGGGAGCAAACAGGAUUAGAUACCCUGGUAGUCCACGCCGUAAACGAUGAGUGCUAAGUGUUAGGGGGUUUCCGCCCCCCUUAGUGCUGCAGCUAACGCAUUAAGCACUCCGCCUGGGAGUACGGCCGCAAGGCUG
Molecule: ribosomal RNA, 372 nt
Filed under: uncultured organism
Description: partial 16S ribosomal RNA
Rfam family: Bacterial small subunit ribosomal RNA
Source: RNAcentral